This 527-nucleotide ribosomal RNA is filed under the name uncultured fungus. RNAcentral's name for it is "eukaryotic LSU rRNA". The stretch from base 123 to 276 matches the Rfam family "5.8S ribosomal RNA". The record is from RNAcentral. Lineage: Eukaryota; Fungi.
ACUAUUCAAAACCCCUGUGCACUUAUGGUAGGUGGUGGAUUAACUUCCAUUCACCUACGUUUUAUCAUAAACUCGAAUGCUAUAGAAUGUACAUGUAUGACCUUUGAUCAAAACAUUAAUACAACUUUCAACAAUGGAUCUCUUGGUUCUCGCAUCGAUGAAGAACGCAGCGAAUUGCGAUAUGUAAUGUGAAUUGCAGAAUUCAGUGAAUCAUCGAAUCUUUGAACGCAUCUUGCGCCCUUUGGUAUUCCGAAGGGCAUGCCUGUUUGAGUGUCAUUAAAUUCUCAACUACGAUUUUGUAGCUUGGAUAUUGGAGGUCUUUGCAGGCUCGAAAGAGUCAGCUCCUCUUAAAUGCAUUAGCAGAGCUUUAAAAAGGAUCGGCUUUGGUUUGAUAAUAUCUAUGCCAUCGCUGGAACGAUUAUAGUUCAGCUUAUAAUCGUCUUAGGACUGUCAAAGGCAUCAUUUAAACUUGACCUCAAAUCAGGUAGGACUACCCGCUGAACUUAAGCAUAUCAAUAAGCGGAGGA